RNAcentral lists this ribosomal RNA (617 nucleotides) under Klebsiella pneumoniae. RNAcentral's name for it is "bacterial SSU rRNA". It matches the Rfam family "Bacterial small subunit ribosomal RNA", at positions 1 to 609 of the family's 1533-position model. The record is from RNAcentral. Lineage: Bacteria; Pseudomonadati; Pseudomonadota; Gammaproteobacteria; Enterobacterales; Enterobacteriaceae. RNAcentral also lists the same sequence under 1 other name.
AAAUUGAAGAGUUUGAUCAUGGCUCAGAUUGAACGCUGGCGGCAGGCCUAACACAUGCAAGUCGAGCGGUAGCACAGAGAGCUUGCUCUCGGGUGACGAGCGGCGGACGGGUGAGUAAUGUCUGGGAAACUGCCUGAUGGAGGGGGAUAACUACUGGAAACGGUAGCUAAUACCGCAUAACGUCGCAAGACCAAAGUGGGGGACCUUCGGGCCUCAUGCCAUCAGAUGUGCCCAGAUGGGAUUAGCUAGUAGGUGGGGUAACGGCUCACCUAGGCGACGAUCCCUAGCUGGUCUGAGAGGAUGACCAGCCACACUGGAACUGAGACACGGUCCAGACUCCUACGGGAGGCAGCAGUGGGGAAUAUUGCACAAUGGGCGCAAGCCUGAUGCAGCCAUGCCGCGUGUGUGAAGAAGGCCUUCGGGUUGUAAAGCACUUUCAGCGGGGAGGAAGGCGAUAAGGUUAAUAACCUUGUCGAUUGACGUUACCCGCAGAAGAAGCACCGGCUAACUCCGUGCCAGCAGCCGCGGUAAUACGGAGGGUGCAAGCGUUAAUCGGAAUUACUGGGCGUAAAGCGCACGCAGGCGGUCUGUCAAGUCGGAUGUGAAAUCCCCGGGCU